This 721-nucleotide long non-coding RNA is filed under the name Mytilus galloprovincialis (Mediterranean mussel). Lineage: Eukaryota; Metazoa; Mollusca; Bivalvia; Mytilida; Mytilidae. The record is from RNAcentral.
GCACCACCAAAAAUCAAACUUGAUCUGUAUUUAGAGUAAAUAAGCAUUGUGAAUAAUUUCAUAACCUUCUGUUUAGGCUUACUUAUGUAAGAGAUAAGAAACAAAAUCAUCAAUUUUUCCUUUUUUUCAACCAGCAUUAACUCUUGAACAGAUAAAGUGACACCACCAGUCCAAAUUCAAACUUGAUCUGUAUUUUGUGUUAGUAGGCAUUUCAUUUCAUAAGUUUCAUUAUAUUUGGUUGCAGCAAACUAAAGUGAGAGAACAGAAACCAAUUUUUGGAGGUAUAGGAGUAAAUCUUUAUGACCCCUCUGCUACAGCAGGGUCAUAAAAAUGUUUUCAUAAAGCAAAUAAUUUUACCUAUCUAUAAACUACCCAGCUUAAUUAUUUGGAGAGGAAAUAGGAAACACUAAAUUCCGUUAUUUUGGCCUGCCACACUGGUUGAUAAACUUAUAUGAAAUCAACCAACCAUAAUCUAUACCCACUUAGGAUUAUUUUUAUCCAAGACUUAUUCAAUACUUUUAUUUACUUCACAGAAAGGAUCUGCAGAAAAAUUUACAAAAGGGAAAAUUGAUCUGUAGCCUUUUCAAGAUGAUCCAAAAUUAUCAUAAUUUUAAACGCCACUGCAUCAGUCAAACAAGUAAGCUUGUUAUAUUCAUUGUGAUAACUUCACUCCCAUAAGAGGUGUCAAUAACUUAAGUCAUCACUUGCAGAAGCACUGAAA